UGGGGAAUAUUGCACAAUGGGGGAAACCCUGAUGCAGCGACGCCGCGUGGAGGAAGAAGGUCUUCGGAUUGUAAACUCCUGUUGUUGAGGAAGAUAAUGACGGUACUCAACAAGGAAGUGACGGCUAACUACGUGCCAGCAGCCGCGGUAAAACGUAGGUCACAAGCGUUGUCCGGAAUUACUGGGUGUAAAGGGAGCGCAGGCGGGAAGACAAGUUGGAAGUGAAAUCCAUGGGCUCAACCCAUGAACUGCUUUCAAAACUGUUUUUCUUGAGUAGUGCAGAGGUAGGCGGAAUUCCCGGUGUAGCGGUGGAAUGCGUAGAUAUCGGGAGGAACACCAGUGGCGAAGGCGGCCUACUGGGCACCAACUGACGCUGAGGCUCGAAAGUGUGGGUAGCAAACAGGAUUAGAUACCCUGGUAGUCCACACUGUAAACGAUGAUUACUAGGUGUUGGAGGAUUGACCCCUUCAGUGCCGCAGUUAACACAAUAAGUAAUCCACCUGGGGAGUACGACCGCAAGGUUGAAACUCAAAGGAAUUGACGGGGGCCCGCACAAGCAGUGGAGUAUGUGGUUUAAUUCGACGCAACGCGAAGAACCUUACCAAGUCUUGACAUCCCUUGACGAUGCUGGAAACAGUAUUUCUCUUCGGAGCAAGGAGACAGGUGGUGCAUGGUUGUCGUCAGCUCGUGUCGUGAGAUGUUGGGUUAAGUCCCGCAACGAGCGCAACCCUUAUGGUCAGUUACUACGCAAGAGGACUCUGGUCAGACUGCCGUUGACAAAACGGAGGAAGGUGGGGAUGACGUCAAAUCAUCAUGCCCUUUAUGACUUGGGCUACACACGUACUACAAUGGCGUUAAACAAAGAGAAGCAAGACCGCGAGGUGGAGCAAAACUCAGAAACAACGUCCCAGUUCGGACUGCAGGCUGCAACUCGCCUGCACGAAGUCGGAAUUGCUAGUAAUCGCAGAUCAGCAUGCUGCGGUGAAUACGUUCCC
RNAcentral lists this ribosomal RNA (995 nucleotides) under uncultured bacterium. RNAcentral describes it as "bacterial SSU rRNA". It matches the Rfam family "Bacterial small subunit ribosomal RNA", at positions 355 to 1375 of the family's 1533-position model. The record is from RNAcentral.